AUCAUCCAAUGUACCUGUUGAAACCAUAUUACUAUAAAGAAAUUUCUGCAUUUGUAGGGUCGAAGUGAAGAUCCUUUCUAUUCUGCUCCUUACAGUAAUCAUAUAGAAGGGGAAAUCCAAACACUUGCUCUCUGCUGAAAGGAUUGUUAAUACAAUAGACACAGAAGAAAAUACUGCUGUUGAAGGUAGAGCAUACCUCUGCCAGAAAGGAGGCUAUUGCUUUGAAAGAAGAUCAUCUGGUACAAAGCUUCUGGGAAUGUUUUAAUUGAAAAUAUCUGGGGGUUGGAGGUAAGUGACCAAGCGACUGCAUGGUCCUGAUCUGACCACUGGGGUUAACCCACACACUACUGGACGUGUCUGACAGGAGAAACUUCUAUCCAUCUUCACCAUAUCCAGUACUUGUAAAUUGAAAAGGUUGUAUUACGUCUUUUUUUUUAACUAAAUAAAGGAGAAAUUAUUAGUAGUAUUUCUUUAUAG
This 477-nucleotide long non-coding RNA is filed under the name Phasianus colchicus (ring-necked pheasant). RNAcentral's name for it is "lncRNA (ENSPCLG00000020225.1)". Lineage: Eukaryota; Metazoa; Chordata; Aves; Galliformes; Phasianidae. The record is from RNAcentral.